Molecule: transfer RNA, 74 nt
Filed under: Candidatus Omnitrophota bacterium
Lineage: Bacteria; Pseudomonadati; Candidatus Omnitrophota
Description: tRNA-Arg
Rfam family: tRNA
About the family: Transfer RNA (tRNA) molecules are approximately 80 nucleotides in length.
Source: RNAcentral
GCGCUCGUAGCUCAGCUGGAUAGAGCACUAGCCUCCGGAGCUAGGGGUCGCGCGUUCAAAUCGCGCCGAGCGCA